CGUAAAGCGCAUGCAGGUGGUUUGUUAAGUCAGAUGUGAAAGCCCGGGGCUCAACCUCGGAAUUGCAUUUGAAACUGGCAACUAGAGUACUGUAGAGGGGGUAGAAUUUCAGGUGUAGCGGUGAAAUGCGUAGAGAUCUGAAGGAAUACCGGUGGCGAAGGCGGCCCCCUGGACAGAUACUGACACUCAGAUGCGAAAGCGUGGGGAGCAAACAGGAUUACAUACCCUCGGUAG
RNAcentral lists this ribosomal RNA (234 nucleotides) under uncultured bacterium. RNAcentral describes it as "partial 16S ribosomal RNA". It matches the Rfam family "Bacterial small subunit ribosomal RNA", at positions 559 to 793 of the family's 1533-position model. The record is from RNAcentral.